RNAcentral lists this transfer RNA (90 nucleotides) under Diphylleia rotans. Its description in RNAcentral is "tRNA-Ser". It matches the Rfam family "tRNA". From Rfam's summary of the family: Transfer RNA (tRNA) molecules are approximately 80 nucleotides in length. Their secondary structure includes four short double-helical elements and three loops (D, anti-codon, and T loops). Lineage: Eukaryota; Collodictyonidae. The record is from RNAcentral.
GGGUGAAUGAUCGAGUGGUUUAAGGUGCCAGUCUUGAAAACUGGAGUAGAGUUUAAUUCUCUACCGUGGGUUCGAAUCCCACUUCACCCU